GAGCCAUUAGCUCAGUUGGUAGAGCAUCUGACUUUUAAUCAGAGGGUCGAAGGUUCGAGUCCUUCAUGCCCG
RNAcentral lists this transfer RNA (72 nucleotides) under Bacillus cereus. RNAcentral describes it as "tRNA-Lys". The stretch from base 5 to 68 matches the Rfam family "tRNA", at positions 5 to 66 of the family's 71-position model. From Rfam's summary of the family: Transfer RNA (tRNA) molecules are approximately 80 nucleotides in length. Lineage: Bacteria; Bacillati; Bacillota; Bacilli; Caryophanales; Bacillaceae. The record is from RNAcentral.